RNAcentral lists this non-coding RNA (120 nucleotides) under Asterionellopsis glacialis. The record is from RNAcentral. Lineage: Eukaryota; Bacillariophyta; Plagiogrammaphyceae; Rhaphoneidales; Asterionellopsidaceae.
UUUUUUUUUUCUUUUUUUUUUUUCUCUUUUUUUUUCUUUUUUUUUUUUAUACAAAAAGGCCAGCCGUAAGGCUAGCCUAAUUGAAAUCAUUCAUAUCGAAAAAAAAGAGCUUAUGCGUCU